This 917-nucleotide ribosomal RNA is filed under the name uncultured Bacillota bacterium. Its description in RNAcentral is "bacterial SSU rRNA". It matches the Rfam family "Bacterial small subunit ribosomal RNA", at positions 1 to 917 of the family's 1533-position model. Lineage: Bacteria; Bacillati; Bacillota. The record is from RNAcentral.
UGGAUCCAGACUUUGAUUAUGGCUCAGGACGAACGCUGGCGGCGCGCCUAACACAUGCAAGUCGAACGGAGAUUACAGGCGGAAGUUUUCGGAUGGAAGCUUGUAAACUUAGUGGCGGACGGGUGAGUAACACGUGAGCAACCUGCCUAUCAGAGGGGGAUAACGAUUGGAAACGAUCGCUAAUACCGCAUGACAUAGCGGAACCGCAUGGUUCUGUUAUCAAAGAUUUUAUCGCUGAUAGAUGGGCUCGCGUCCGAUUAGAUAGUUGGUGGGGUAACGGCCUACCAAGUCGACGAUCGGUAGCCGGACUGAGAGGUCGAACGGCCACAUUGGGACUGAGACACGGCCCAGACUCCUACGGGAGGCAGCAGUGGGGGAUAUUGCACAAUGGAGGAAACCCUGAUGCAGCGACGCCGCGUGAGGGAAGACGGUCCUCUGGAUUGUAAACCUCUGUCUUCGGGGACGAAACGAGACGGUACCCGAGGAGGAAGCCACGGCUAACUACGUGCCAGCAGCCGCGGUAAUACGUAGGUGGCAAGCGUUGUCCGGAAUUACUGGGUGUAAAGGGAGCGUAGGCGGGCAGGCAAGUCAGGCGUGAAAUAUACCGGCUCAACCGGUAACGGCGCUUGAAACUGCAGGUCUUGAGUGAAGUAGAGGUCGGCGGAAUUCCUAGUGUAGCGGUGAAAUGCGUAGAUAUUAGGAGGAACACCAGUGGCGAAGGCGGCCAACUGGGCUUUUACUGACGCUGAGGCUCGAAAGUGUGGGGAGCAAACAGGAUUAGAUACCCUGGUAGUCCACACCGUAAACGAUGAUUACUAGGUGUGGGGGGACUGACCCCUUCCGUGCCGGAGUUAACACAAUAAGUAAUCCACCUGGGGAGUACGGCCGCAAGGUUGCAACUCAAAGGAAUUGACGGA